CCUACGGGGGGCAGCAGUAGGGAAUAUUGCUCAAUGGGGGAAACCCUGAAGCAGCAACGCCGCGUGGAGGAUGAAGGUUUUCGGAUUGUAAACUCCUUUUGUUAGAGAAGAUAAUGACGGUAUCUAACGAAUAAGCACCGGCUAACUCCAUGCCAGCAGCCGCGGUAAUACGGCGGGUGCAAGCGUUAAUCGGAAGCACUGGGCGUAAAGAGCGCGUCGGCGGGAUAGCAAGUCAGAUGUGAAAUCCUAGGGCUUAACCAUAGAACUGCAUUUGAAACUGUUAUUCUAGAGUAUGGGAGAGGUAGGUGGAAUUCGUGGUGUAGCGGUGAAAUCCUUAGAGAUCAAGAGGAAGACUCAUUGCGAAGGCGACCUGCUAGAACAUAACUGACGCUGAUGCGCGAAGGCGUGGGGAUCAAACAGGAUUAGAUACCCUUGUAGUC
This 440-nucleotide ribosomal RNA is filed under the name uncultured bacterium. RNAcentral describes it as "partial 16S ribosomal RNA". It matches the Rfam family "Bacterial small subunit ribosomal RNA", at positions 338 to 795 of the family's 1533-position model. The record is from RNAcentral.